UUGAGCCGAGGAUGAAUUAAAGUUAUCCCUGUCUGAGAUGACAUGUCUUGUGAAGAGUCGUGGUUUACUGAGGCUCAA
Alexandromys fortis (reed vole) is the source of this 78-nucleotide small nucleolar RNA. RefSeq annotates it as small nucleolar RNA R38. The transcript has a single exon. The record is from RefSeq and is a predicted model, not a curated record. NCBI's taxonomy places the organism in Eukaryota, Metazoa, Chordata, Mammalia, Rodentia, Cricetidae.